RNAcentral lists this long non-coding RNA (1314 nucleotides) under Junco hyemalis (dark-eyed junco). RNAcentral's name for it is "lncRNA (ENSJHYG00000011223.1)". The record is from RNAcentral. Lineage: Eukaryota; Metazoa; Chordata; Aves; Passeriformes; Passerellidae.
CUGGCGGCGGAGGUGUGAGGGGGGGGCUCGGGAUUUUGGGGCAAAAAAAUGGAAAUUUGGGAAUUUUCUGAGGGGAAAAAGGGAUCCCCAAGCUCUAAAUUCAAGCUUUUUGGGGAAAUUUGAGGGAGAAAGUGAGUUGGGGUUUUUUUUUUUGAGGAAAAAGAAGGGAUUUUGGGAUUUUUUUCUGAGGGGAUAAAGGGGGUCCCCAAGCUCUAAAUGCAAAACUUCUGGGAAAUUUUGAGGGAGAAAGAUGGUCCCAAUGCAUUAAUAAAUUUUUUUGAGGAAAAAAAGGGAAUUUGGGAAUUUUUUUGAGGGGAAAAAAGUGUCCCCAGGCUCUAAAUCUCAAUGGUUUAAGGAAAUUUGAGGGAAAAAGGGGGUCCCAGUGCAUUAAUUGGGGAUUUUUUGGGUGAAAAAAGGUGAAUUUGGGAUUUUUUCUGAGGGGAAAAAGGGGUCCCCAAGCUCUAAAUCCAAACUUUUGGAGGAAAAUUUGAGGGAAAAAGGAGUCCCAGAACCUUGUUGAGGUGAAAAAUGAGGGAAAAAAAGGGAUUUCUGGAGCCUUUUUGAGGAAAAAUUUGAGGGAAAAAUGUGAAUUUCAAAUCCUGAAUUCCCUUUUUGGGGGAAAAUUGAGGGGGAAAAGGGGUCACAGAAAGAAUUGUGGUGGAUUUUAGACGCUUUUUGUAAAUUUUGAUCAUUUUAAUGCCAUUUUUGACUCAUUUAAAACACUUCAAUGUCACUUUUGGUCACUUUACUGUAACUUUUGAUCACUUUAAUGCCAUUUUUGACCCUUUUAAGGCACUUCAAUGUCACUUUUGGUCACUUUGAUGCCAUUUUUUAUAAUUUUUGGCCACUUUAAUGCCAUUUUUUGUCACUUUAGGUCACUUUAAUGCCAUUUUUUGUCACUUUUGGCCACUUUAAUGCCAUUUUUUGUCACUUUUGGUCACUUUAAUGCCAUUUUUUGUCACUUUAAUGCCAUUUUUUGUCACUUUAAUGCCAUUUUUUUGACACUUUUGGUCACUUUAAUGCCAUUUUUGCUCACUUUAGGACACUUCAAUGUAACUUUUUCUCCAUUUUUGUAACUUUGCCUCCCUGUACCCCAAUUUUGGGCGGAUUUCAGACACUUUUGGGUCAUUUCUCUCAGUUUUGGGUGGUUUCAGGUGGGUUUCACUCCAUUUUGGGUGGGUUUAUCUCAAUUUUGGUUCAUUUUCUGUCACUUUCACUCCAUUUUGGGUGGGUUUCUCUCAAUUUUGGGUGGAUUUCUCUCAAUUUCAGUUCAUUUUCUUUUACUUUUACUCCAUGUUGGGUGGGUUUCUCUCA